Long non-coding RNA from Telopea speciosissima, 210 nucleotides. RefSeq lists it as uncharacterized. The record is from RefSeq and is a predicted model, not a curated record. Lineage: Eukaryota; Viridiplantae; Streptophyta; Magnoliopsida; Proteales; Proteaceae. The transcript is spliced from 3 exons.
CUACAAAUUUUUAUUUUUGGACUCCUGCAGUGGCAUUGCCUAUGUAUCUAUUAGCAGUGUUGCUUGAGAAAUUCAAAAGCAGGUCUGUUCUUGCUUCUGUGAGGUCUCAGAGUGGAAGAUCAAGGGCGUUAGAUCCCCAUGAAUGAUACUUUUUUAAAACUUUUUGGUGGAUUCACAUCUUAGUCUCUAUUGCUUGUAUAAUAAAAUGCU